RNAcentral lists this ribosomal RNA (253 nucleotides) under uncultured bacterium. RNAcentral describes it as "partial 16S ribosomal RNA". It matches the Rfam family "Bacterial small subunit ribosomal RNA", at positions 524 to 776 of the family's 1533-position model. The record is from RNAcentral.
UACGGAGGGAGCUAGCGUUGUUCGGAAUUACUGGGCGUAAAGCGCACGUAGGCGGCGAUUCAAGUCAGAGGUGAAAGCCCGGGGCUCAACCCCGGAACUGCCUUUGAAACUAGAUUGCUAGAAUCCUGGAGAGGUCAGUGGAAUUCCGAGUGUAGAGGUGAAAUUCGUAGAUAUUCGGAAGAACACCAGUGGCGAAGGCGACUGACUGGACAUGUAUUGACGCUGAGGUGCGAAAGCGUGGGGAGCAAACAGG